CCUACGGGAGGCAGCAGUGAGGAAUAUUGGUCAAUGGACGCAACUCUGAACCCGCCAUGUAGCGUGCAGGAUGACGGCUCUAUGUGUUGUAAACUGCUUUUAUGCGAGGAUAAACUGAGUUACGUGUAUCUUUUUGCAGGUACCGUACGAAUAAGGAUCGGCUAAUUCCGUGCCAGCAGCCGCGGUAAUACGGAGGAUUCGAGCGUUAUCCGGAUUUAUUGGGUUUAAAGGGUGCGAAGGCGGUCCGUUAAGUUAGUUGUGAAAUUCCGAGGCUCAACCUUGGAAUUGCAGCUCGUACUGGUAGGCUAGAGAGUGGUUGAGGUAGGCGGAAUGCGUGGUGUAGCGGUGAAAUGCUUAGAGAUCAUGCAGAACGCCGAUUGCGAAGGCAGCUUACCAAGCUGCUACUGACGCUGAGGCACGAAGGCGUGGGGAGCAAACAGGAUUAGAUACCCCAGUAGUC
RNAcentral lists this ribosomal RNA (460 nucleotides) under uncultured bacterium. RNAcentral's name for it is "partial 16S ribosomal RNA". It matches the Rfam family "Bacterial small subunit ribosomal RNA", at positions 338 to 795 of the family's 1533-position model. The record is from RNAcentral.